Molecule: long non-coding RNA, 219 nt
Filed under: Piliocolobus tephrosceles (Ugandan red Colobus)
Lineage: Eukaryota; Metazoa; Chordata; Mammalia; Primates; Cercopithecidae
Description: lncRNA (ENSPTEG00000006927.1)
Source: RNAcentral
AAGCUUGGUUAAAAACAGAGUUAAAGGCAGUGGGAGUCCAAGGAGAGGGUCUGAAGUUCACGACUACUAGAAGGGGAGGGGAGUGGAAAGGAUCUCAGUGAAAAAGGUAUGGAACCCUUCAGAUCAAAGCUUACCAAUAAAUUCAGUAUGUAGAACAGAUUAGUGUAGUUGAAGUGGGGAAGAAUGAGAGUUAACUCAACCAGCCAGCACCCCCUACCC